Non-coding RNA from Chelonoidis abingdonii (Abingdon island giant tortoise), 225 nucleotides. Lineage: Eukaryota; Metazoa; Chordata; Testudines; Testudinidae. The record is from RefSeq and is a predicted model, not a curated record.
CUUGUUCAUCAGCAUCCAGCCAGUCAGAGGUAUCAAGAUGAUCUCACAGGCUCCACUCAUCUGGCUCUUAGUACUCUGGAUCCAGGAUGCCAGUGGGCAGAUUGUGAUGACUCAGACUCCAGAAUCCCUGGCAGUGUCUCCAGGAGAGAAAGUCACCAUCAACUGCAAAGCCAGUUCAAGCCUUACUUACCAAGGCAAGGAAUACUUAGCCUGGUACCAGGAGAA